CCUACGGGGGGCAGCAGUGGGGAAUAUUGCACAAUGGGCGCAAGCCUGAUGCAGCCAUGCCGCGUGUGUGAAGAAGGCCUUCGGGUUGUAAAGCACUUUCAGCGGGGAGGAAGGCGGUGAGGUUAAUAACCUCAUCGAUUGACGUUACCCGCAGAAGAAGCACCGGCUAACUCCGUGCCAGCAGCCGCGGUAAUACGGAGGGUGCAAGCGUUAAUCGGAAUUACUGGGCGUAAAGCGCACGCAGGCGGUCUGUCAAGUCGGAUGUGAAAUCCCCGGGCUCAACCUGGGAACUGCAUUCGAAACUGGCAGGCUAGAGUCUUGUAGAGGGGGGGAGAAUUCCAGGUGUAGCGGUGAAAUGCGUAGAGAUCUGGAGGAAUACCGGUGGCGAAGGCGGCCCCCUGGACAAAGACUGACGCUCAGGUGCGAAAGCGUGGGGAGCAAACAGGAUUAGAUACCCUAGUAGUC
This 465-nucleotide ribosomal RNA is filed under the name uncultured Klebsiella sp. RNAcentral's name for it is "bacterial SSU rRNA". It matches the Rfam family "Bacterial small subunit ribosomal RNA", at positions 338 to 795 of the family's 1533-position model. The record is from RNAcentral. Lineage: Bacteria; Pseudomonadati; Pseudomonadota; Gammaproteobacteria; Enterobacterales; Enterobacteriaceae.